Molecule: long non-coding RNA, 687 nt
Organism: Gopherus flavomarginatus (Mexican gopher tortoise)
Lineage: Eukaryota; Metazoa; Chordata; Testudines; Testudinidae
Exons: 3
Source: RefSeq, a predicted model, not a curated record
UUGGGCUUGUCUACAUCAGAAAGUUGCAGCGCUGGUGAGGGAGUUACAGCGCUGCAACUUAGGAGGUGUACACAUCUGCAGGGCACCACCAGCGCUGCAACUCCCUGUUUGCAGCGCUGGCCGUACUCCCGUUUUGUCUCGGGUGUAGAGGAUCCAGCGCUGGUGAUCCAGCGCUGGUAAUCAAGUAUAGACACUUACCAGCGCUUUUCUUGACCUCCGUGGAAUAAGCAGGUAUCCCAGCAUACCUGAGGAAGCCUCUGGUAAUCAAGCUGGUCUCCUUCCCCGGCUUGCUCUCGCGUUCCCUGAACCCCGAGCAAGCAGGUCUCCUUCCCUGAGGUUUGCUGGGUGGUUCCGGGAACGCGAGAGCAAACCGCGGCGAAGCUGGUCUCCUUUCCCGGUUUGCUCUCUCGUUCCCCGAGCAAGCAGGUCUCCUUCCCUGCGGUUUGCAGGGUGGUUCGGGGAACGCGAGAGCAAACCGCGGCGAAGCUGGUCUCCUUUCCCGGUUUGCUCUCGCGUUCCCCGAACCCCCCUUGAAGCCGCCCAACAGCGCUGCAGUGUGGCCACAUCUAACACCACUUGCAGCGCUGGUUGCUGUAAGUGUGGCCACUCUGCAGCGCUGGCCCUAUACAGCUGUACUAAUACAGCUGUAACAACCAGCGCUGCAAAAUUUUAGAUGUAGACAUGGCC